RNAcentral lists this microRNA (18 nucleotides) under Zea mays. RNAcentral's name for it is "microRNA miR-3191". The record is from RNAcentral. Lineage: Eukaryota; Viridiplantae; Streptophyta; Magnoliopsida; Poales; Poaceae.
ACAAUUACGGAUAAUUUA